This 320-nucleotide ribosomal RNA is filed under the name Blastocystis sp. RNAcentral's name for it is "SSU rRNA". It matches the Rfam family "Eukaryotic small subunit ribosomal RNA", at positions 141 to 472 of the family's 1831-position model. Lineage: Eukaryota; Bigyra; Opalinata; Blastocystidae. The record is from RNAcentral.
GGAUAACCGUAGUAAUUCUAGAGCUAAUACAUGUAUAAAGUCUUGUAGACUGCAUUUAUUAGAAUGAAAACCAUAGGUUUCGGCCUAUUCGUGAGUAAUAAUAACUAAUCAUAUCGUAUGCUUAUGUAACGAUGUGUCUUUCAAGUUUCUGCCCUAUCAGCUUUCGAUGGUAGUGUAUUGGACUACCAUGGCAUAACGGGUAACGAAGAAUUGGGUUCGAUUUCGGAGAGGGAGCCUGAGAGAUGGCUACCACAUCCAGGAAGGCAGCAGCGCGUAAUUACCCAUCCUGACCAGGGAGGUAGUGACAUAAUCACAAUGCG